Long non-coding RNA from Silurus meridionalis, 398 nucleotides. RefSeq lists it as uncharacterized. The record is from RefSeq and is a predicted model, not a curated record. The transcript is spliced from 2 exons. NCBI's taxonomy places the organism in Eukaryota, Metazoa, Chordata, Actinopteri, Siluriformes, Siluridae.
CUCUUUAAGAGUUUCCUCCAUGGUACAGACACGUCUGGAUGAUCGGUAACUUCUCCACAGCGCGCGCUGCUUUCUUCUAUGUGGAGCAAUCGAUUUCUCCAGUCAUGCUGAGGGUACGAAAUGUCUCAGCCCCAGAGAGAUUGGUUGUUCAUGUCAAGGCCCAGAAGACAUUCUGGCAAAGCCAGAAAGUGUGAUCAAUUACAGAUCCUCAAAAUGAAAACUGACAUACAGUUAAUCACCUCUCACAUCUCUAAUACCAAAAUUAAAUUGCAGACCUUUCCUUUUAUCCCUUUUUUCUUUUACUGUGUUACAAUUUAUUAUAGAUUUCCUUUAUGCUGUAUUUUGAAAUGGAUAUGUACCCUGCCAUGUGGGUCUGGAAUAAAGUUACAAGUAUUAGA